UACGAAGGGGGCUAGCGUUGUUCGGAAUUACUGGGCGUAAAGCGCACGUAGGCGGAUAUCUUAAGUCAGGGGUGAAAUCCCGGGGCCUCAACCCCGGAACUGCCUUUGAUACUGGGUAUCUCGAGUCCGGAAGAGGUGAGUGGAAUUCCGAGUGGUAGAGGGUGAAAUUCGUAGAUAUUCGGAGGAACACCAGUGGCGAAGGCGGCUCACUGGUCCGGUACUGACACUGAGGCCACGAAAGGCGUGGGGAGCAAACAGG
RNAcentral lists this ribosomal RNA (259 nucleotides) under uncultured bacterium. RNAcentral describes it as "partial 16S ribosomal RNA". It matches the Rfam family "Bacterial small subunit ribosomal RNA", at positions 524 to 776 of the family's 1533-position model. The record is from RNAcentral.